This 421-nucleotide ribosomal RNA is filed under the name uncultured bacterium. Its description in RNAcentral is "bacterial SSU rRNA". It matches the Rfam family "Bacterial small subunit ribosomal RNA", at positions 358 to 774 of the family's 1533-position model. The record is from RNAcentral.
GGGAUAUUGGGCAAUGGGGGCAACCCUGACCCAGCCAUGCCGCGUGAGGGAAUGAGGCCCCAGUGGUCGUGAACCUCUUUUGCGCGGGGACAAGGACGCGGUCGUGAACCGUGUUUGAGGGUACCGCGCGAAUAAGCAUCGGCUAACUCCGUGCCAGCAGCCGCGGUAAUACGGAGGAUGCGAGCGUUAUCCGGAUUCAUUGGGUUUAAAGGGUGCGCAGGCGGCCCGUGCAAGUCGGCGGUGAAAUCCCGGGGCCCAACCCCGGAAGUGCCGUCGAUACUGUCGGGCUGGAAUGCGGUCGAGGCGGGCGGAACGUGGCGUGUAGCGGUGAAAUGCGUAGAUAUGCCACAGAACGCCGAUAGCGGAGGCAGCUCGCCAGGCCUGCAUUGACGCUCGGGCACGAAAGCGUGGGGAUCGAACA